CUUGACUUGGAGGAGUUCUGAAGUGUGGGCCCUGAGACGGCUUCCCUUAGGCAACUAUGUGACUCAAUAAGGUGCCUUCCUGAUCCCUCUUAGUGAAAACCAUUAACUAGCAGUGAAGAAAUAAGCCUGUAUCUGUUUCUCAGACUUGAAUUUGAUGGUACUGGAUGACUGGAUGAGUGAUGAUGACUACUCUUAGAGGCCAGGGCUGCCGUCCCAAAAAAGAGAAAAUGAAGUGCAUUUUUAACAGAUUACUCAUCACCCAGACAUCCUUGGACAGCUCACUUGACUCCAUCAUCCACAAAGAAGAAUCAUAACCGUGGAAAAACAACAACAAAAAUGAGCCUGCAAGAGACCAUAUUGUUGAAAUGAAGAAAAUAUUCAUCUUAGUGAAAUAUAUCCAAGGGCCCAUGUGGCUAUGUAUAUGUUUGUUAUGCAUAUAAAGUACAAGGAACAUC
RNAcentral lists this long non-coding RNA (455 nucleotides) under Monodelphis domestica (gray short-tailed opossum). RNAcentral's name for it is "lncRNA (ENSMODG00000048392.1)". Lineage: Eukaryota; Metazoa; Chordata; Mammalia; Didelphimorphia; Didelphidae. The record is from RNAcentral.